GAUGAAGAACGUAGCGAAAUGCGAUACUUGGUGUGAAUUGCAGAAUCCCGUGAACCAUCGAGUCUUUGAACGCAAGUUGCGCCCGAAGCCAUCAGGUUGAGGGCACGUCUGCCUGGGCGUCACAUAUCGUUGCCCAAUGCCUAUUGCAGUGCAAUAGGAAUUUCUAGGGCGAAUGAUGGCUUCCCGUGAGCGUUGUUGCCUCGCGGUUGGUUGAAAAUCGAGUCCUUGGUAGGGUGUGCCAUGGUAGAUGGUGGUCGAGUUAGAACGAUACCGAUCAUGUGCAUGCUCCCCAAAAUAUGGCCUCUAUGACCCACACGCGUCUUUUGACGCUCAUGACGAGACCUCAGGUCAGGCGGGGCUACCCGCUGAAUUUAAGCAUAUCAAUAAGGAGGA
RNAcentral lists this unclassified non-coding RNA (393 nucleotides) under soil metagenome. Its description in RNAcentral is "partial contains 5.8S ribosomal RNA, internal transcribed spacer 2, and large subunit ribosomal RNA". The stretch from base 1 to 122 matches the Rfam family "5.8S ribosomal RNA", at positions 35 to 154 of the family's 154-position model. The record is from RNAcentral.